AGGACGAACGCUGGCGGCGUGCUUAACACAUGCAAGUCGAGCGGAAAGGCCCUUCGGGGUACUCGAGCGGCGAACGGGUGAGUAACACGUGAGCAAUCUGCCCUUAGCUUCGGGAUAGCUCCGGGAAACCGGAAUUAAUACCGAAUAUGACUUCGGCCGACAUCGGCCUUGGUGGAAAGUUUUUCGGCUAGGGAUGAACUCGCGGCCUAUCAGCUUGUUGGUGGGGUAAUGGCCUACCAAGGCGACGACGGGUAGCCGGCCUGAGAGGGCGACCGGCCACACUGGGACUGAGACACGGCCCAGACUCCUACGGGAGGCAGCAGUGGGAAUAUUGCGCAAUGGGCGAAAGCCUGACGCAGCGACGCCGCGUGGGGGAUGAAGGCCUUCGGGUUGUAAACCCCUUUCAGCAGGGACGAAGCGAAAGUGACGGUACCUGCAGAAGAAGCGCCGGCUAACUACGCGCCAGCAGCCGC
Molecule: ribosomal RNA, 473 nt
Filed under: uncultured bacterium
Lineage: Bacteria
Description: SSU rRNA
Rfam family: Bacterial small subunit ribosomal RNA
Source: RNAcentral